GGAGAGAUGGCCGAGUGGUUAAAGGCAUCAGACUGUAAAUCUGACGACGCAAGUCUACGUAGGUUCGAAUCCUACUCUCUCCACCA
RNAcentral lists this transfer RNA (86 nucleotides) under Rickettsiales bacterium. Its description in RNAcentral is "tRNA-Tyr". It matches the Rfam family "tRNA". Rfam says of the family: Transfer RNA (tRNA) molecules are approximately 80 nucleotides in length. Their secondary structure includes four short double-helical elements and three loops (D, anti-codon, and T loops). Lineage: Bacteria; Pseudomonadati; Pseudomonadota; Alphaproteobacteria; Rickettsiales. The record is from RNAcentral.